Molecule: long non-coding RNA, 31448 nt
Filed under: Triticum aestivum (bread wheat)
Lineage: Eukaryota; Viridiplantae; Streptophyta; Magnoliopsida; Poales; Poaceae
Description: long non-coding RNA (TAES_LNC015583)
Source: RNAcentral
AUCAAAUAACCCAAGACAACAUAUAUAUGUGUGUGCAUGCAUAAAUUAAUAAUCCAUCAGACGGUUAGUUGAUAUAUGCCAACCCGUAUAUUGGUUGGUGCCGCAUUUUUAUUUGUUAGUGUGACCUUGAGAGAGUUUGCAAUCAUGGCAUGGCUUGGCAUGCCACUCUUGUGCUAGUUUUUCAAUUGUGUGUAUGUGUAUUGGCUUGUAUAUGCACUACCCACCAGGGUAUACCUAGCUACAUAUGCAUGUGUUGUAAAUGUGUGUACAUCAUGCAUCUUUUAAACCCAUAUAGAAUAAGCUACUUUGUUUAUAUAUAUAUUUUUUCCAUUAAAUGUAUUAAUGUCUGUGAAUUUGAUCACAUGUGUGCAUUGUAUCUGGAAAAGAUUUUUGGCACGCACCGACCUAGAGGGGAUUUCCAUCCACCACAUAAACACUUAUUUAUACUUUGAAAUGUGUUCUAAUAAAAUAUUAACUCACUUCUAAAUGUGUGCUAGUAAUUUUAUUCCACAUCUAAUCCAGGGCAAAUAUUUGUGGUGAUGUCCAAGAGAGCGACAUGCUCUACACCAUGUUUCACACAUACUCUGUUGGGAAAAAGUAGUGCCUAGGAGGCGCUGAGGCAUGCUUAGGCGCUAGGCCAUGGCCAAAUGGCUCGCCUAGGGCAUAAGUGGAAGUCUAGGCAGGCCAAGAAAGGAAUUGUCUACCCAAUCGGGAAAUCAUGCUAUAUUGCACCAAUAUGCCAAACAUGACAUAUUCCAAUGAAAGUACCUGGUAGUUAACUUAUAUGUAUACCAUAAUAUCCAUACACAUAAUAAUAAUCACAUAUACACCCUGAUUACCAAAACUAUAUUACCGCCUAGGCUUGCGUAGGGCACUUAAGCACCGCAUAGGCACUAGGCGAAGGUCAACCAUCUCGCUUAUGCCUACCGCUCACAUAUAUAGUAUGUGACAUAGGCUUGGUCUACUAGAAAAUAUAGCUUUCAUCUCAGAAUAAAAUUUUCACGUUGUAGUAUUUACCAAUCCGUUUUUUAAGUUACUGGCCCGCAUGCCAUGCCACUACUGGAAAGACUUAUAGCCGGGGUCACAUUAGUGGCGGGAAUAGAUAGGAACCCGCCACAAUUAUUUUGGGAAGUUCUAGUGGCGGGUGGAAAAAAGGGAUGGCCACUGCUAAAUGAUCGGUAUGAUGGGCAAUAAUCGUCAAUGCCACUCCUAUAUUUUCACGGAAUUAGCCAUGGGAUAGAAACAAUAUUGUGGCGGGUCAGGUGACACGCCAACCAUUGGUUCUCAACGUAUCUAUGGAGGGCCAUGAGAAAUUCCUGCCACGGUAAUAUUUUGCUAACCCAUGCCCAAACUCUCCAAAAUUUUCUAAAGUAGCAGUGGCAGGGAGAAGAUGGCGCCCGCCACAGGUCUUGUAAGUAUGGAAAGUGCUUGAAUAUAUCAUGUUCAUUAACCUAGUGUAGCCUCAAGCUACAACAUUGCGCUUUCAAUAGUGUAUAUUCAACAUAGAAAAGGUUUAAAGGGAAAAUAUUUUUAAAAAUGGAUUUCAAUGGGAAAGCGAGUGUUUCUGUUCACUGAAGAGUGUUUGGUUUAUACAUGAAGUACAUCUAGUUUUUUGUGUAGUGCUCUCAAAUUUGUACCACAACCUAUAGGGGUGAUACGAUGAACCCAUGCCAAGUUUCAAACUUUUCAUAGCUCAUUUGCAUGUUAUUUCAAACAGAAUAGCGUUUUGGACUUUUUAGUUGCCAGCAAAUCAAUUAAUGCUUAAAAAAUAAACCAACUCAAUAGGUGUUCAAAUUUGAGCAUUGCACUGUGAUUGGUGUGUAUUGAACAUUGAAAAAGUUUGAGGGGGCAAUCAGUUUAAAUAAUAGAGUUAUGUGUGCUAGGCGGUGGUUUCCAUUCCAAACUCGGAUACUUCAUCAGAGACUAUUCAGUUUGUACACGAAGUGCAUCAAGUUUUUUCAUAACGUUCUAAAAAAAUGGGCCAAUAGCUCCUGUGCAACGUUUUUCAUGCAAAUUGGAAGGAGUGCGAUGUAGUUCGAAUGAAUGGUUGUGGUGCGACACAUUUUAGUGUGUAAAUAGCCUAGGGUCACAUUGGGUGUUAAAUGGGGUUAAAUUGGUCGUUAACCAAGCCCGUUUAUGUUAGGACAUGUGGGUCCAACUUAAUUGGCCCUCAAAAUAGCUGACUGUGCCCUGCCACCCCCGUCCGCCCCCACUGCCACUCUGCCCCCCACCCCACUUCUUCUCCGGCAGCGGCGGAUCUUGCAUUCUCGGCGGCGGUGGCGGAGCCCUCGUUCUCAUCGGGCACCCAUUCCCUUCGUCUUCAGAAAAUGGUGAGUGAAUUCGAACCCUAGUCUCGUUCCUCUCUCGGGCCCGUAGAUCUCAGCUCGUUUCCUCUAUUUUCGCUUGUUGAAUCGACAGGUUGUGAGGGGAGCCCGUGGGCAUACUGAGAUGGAGCCGCAAGAUUCAACUUCGAAUAGGUAAUGCGCCUCUCUUUGAUCCAAUUUCGUCUGCUCUUUCUCACGGGCUCACACUGUACGCCACUGACAGAGGGGAUGAUGUCGCUCGGAUGUUCGAAUUGACGGUCAAUUUACUUCCAUCAAAGGCAAAAUUAGUUGAUGGUAGCAUACAGAACAUUGAGAGAGACACAAUUGUUAAAUGGGAGGUUGAGUUAUAGAGAUUGAUCCACAAGUUGUACAGAACAUGGGAGAGAAGGCAUUGAAAAAAUGGGUGGAAAAAAUUGGGGAGAAUAUUGUUUGGGGUCCAGAGCAAGAAGUAUCACUGUUGCGGUUUGAUGAUUGGAAAGGAGAGUGUGUGAGAAUAGAAGAUGGUGAACAGAUUGUUGAAGAAAUCGAUCGGCAAAACGGCUGGACAAGCAAACGGGCUAAUUUUUUUGCUGAGCUCAUUGAUCUGAAUAUUUUUUUCAAAGGUUGGAUAUGUGUCAUCACACUUGGCUGCGCAGAUGGUAGAUGAUGAUUGGGCUUCACAUAGGCCAUUGAUUCCCAUGUGUACUGAACUUACAGUAAUAGCCGAAGAGGGACAGGUGACUGGAACUGAAACUGCAGCUACUGUUGAUUGGAAUGUAGUUGAAUUAGAUGAGCCUACUGAUUUGGUCAUUGCACCAAUGCCUGACAUUGAGAUGGCCAAACUUUUUGGCAUUCCAGUCGAUGACAGAGAUAAGCAGGAGAGGGGUGAAUCUAGUUUGCCUGCUAAUGCUGAUGAAGAUGUAGAUGGACAGUUGAUGGAAACAAGCUGCAGAUGAAGUAGAUAAUGCACAUAAUGAUGAGCUAGUGCAUGUGUAUGACAAAGAAAACCCUGUCAUUGAAGUGGGGAAGUUGUGGCCAAACAUGGAUGAAUUUAGAAUGUGUUUCAAGACUUAUGCAGUGAAACAUGACUUUGAUGCCAAGACUGUUUGGACUGAUAGAAAGAAUUUUUAUGUGAGGUGCAGAGGAUUUGAUGGUAGUGUCAAGCCUUGCAAGUGGUACAUAUCUGCUAGACUGCAACCUGAUAGAAGUACUGUCAGGGUUAACCAAAUCCCCAAUCAACAUACUUGUAUUACAAGUUCACAGAGAGUACCAACCAUGACAUCACAACUUUGGGUUGCAGAAAAGAUCACCCCAAUUUUAGCCAAAACACCAAACACUACUGCCAAGAAACUCAAAGUAGACUUGGAAAAGAUGUACCCCAUUAAACUGAAAUAUACCACAGUGUGGAAGGCAAAACAAAGGGCAAUGAAAAAUUUAUAUGGUGAUUGGGCAAAUACAUUUAGGCUGCUUUACAACUUCAAAGCAGAGGUGGAAAAGACGUCACCUGGCAGUGUUGUGGAGAUAAAUACUGAGGUAUCAGCCAAAGGUGAAGUCAAGUUCUCCAAGUUUUUAUGGCUUUGAAGCCUUGCAUCGAUGGCUUCAAAGCAGGGUGCCGUCCAUAUUUGAGCAUAGACUCAUCAUUUUUUACAGGCAAGUGGAAUGGUCAGUUGGUAGCAUGCAAUGCUCUAGAUGGACACAACUGGAUGUUUCCUAUUGCUGUUGGCUUGUUUCAGUCAGAAAUAGAGGCUUCAUGGACAUGGUUCAUGAUCCAGUUGAAAAGAUGCCUAGGGCCAGUGUCACCUUUGGCUAUACACACAGAUGCAUGUAAGGUGCUGGAAAAUUCAGUGAAAAUGUUUUCCCACAUGCUGAGCAGAGGGAGUGCUUCGGUCAUUUGUGGAUGAAUUUGAUCAAAAAAAUUAGAGGAGAAGAAUUUGGGCGCAUGUGGUCAGCAGCAAGAUCUUACACUAGAUAGACACACAAAUAUCAUCUUGAUAAGAUAAUGGCAGCAUGCGAUGAGUUUGGUCCAUGGCUGAACACCUACCAUUCUUUGUUAUGGGACAGGUCAGGAUUCAACACUGCCAUCAAGUGUGACCACAUCAACAACAAUUUGGCAGAGAGUUUCAACAACAAGGUGAAGGAGUUAAAAGAUUUGCCUGUGCAUGACAAGGUUGACCAAAUCAAGAUCAUGCUCAUGCGGUUGUGGGAAUUGAGAAGAAGGAUAGGUGAUUGUCUGCAAGGUGAUAAGCUUCCAACAGUGGUACAACAGGUGGUUAAUAAGAGCAGAAGUCUUUCACGUUUGUUUGUUGAAAAAUCUUCACCUUGGGGUGCUGAAGUUAGAGAUAACAAAACUGGAAGGAGACAUGUUGUUAACACUGAAUUGCAUGAUUGCACUUGCCUCGAGUGGCAACACACUGGUAAACCAUGUGAGCAUGCCAUUCUUUUCUUAUCAUCCCAACCGAAGAUAAACAUGCACCCAUAUUUGCAUGAAUAUUAUUCGGUAGCAAAAUUCAAAGCUACAUAUGCUACUCCAAUUCCAGCACUUACAGAUCAAUCUCAGUGGCCUAAAGUGGAGAUCGAAUUUUCCAUGUGUCCUCCCUUGACGAAAAGAAAGGCUGGCAGGCCUAAACAGAGUAGAUUCAAGGCAUGGUUUGAGAAAGGUGGGAGUAGUAAAAAGGGAAAGAAAGAUGGAAAGCCAAAAAGGCCCAACAAGGUAACAAAAACAGAUGCAAGUUGUGCCAGGAACUUGGGCACAGAGUGGGACCUGUCAAAUGCCGUUCUUGUUUAUUUGUCUGUGUUUUUAUUUGGUGCUUUUUCCAAUUACUAUAUCUAUAACAUUUUCCCAAUGGCUAGGAGGAAGCACGCAAGUCAACCCCUUGUUGUUGAACAGUGUUGGCCAACAAAAAAAGCAAGAGUCAAAGGCUGUAGAAAGAAGAGAAGUGUGCCUGAGCCUGAGCAGACUGAAGAAAAUCCUACUGCAGUCAACAUUCAGACUAAAGAAACUGAUGUCGAGGUGCACACCGAAGAAACUGAAAUUGCAGUCAACAUUCAGACUGAAGAAACUGCUCUCGAGGUUGAAACUGAACCUAAGCGUGUCGAGGUUCAGACUGAAGAAACCCAUAUUGAGGUACACAUCGAAGAAACUGAAACUGCUGUCAACAUUCAUACUGAAGACACUAAUCUCGAGGGUGUUGGCGAGGUGUUGAAAAGACCAGUGAAGAAAACCAAGAUGAUCAGUGAACUUGUGUGUGUAGUAGAACCAAAAACAAGAAGUGCUAAGGCGAAGAAGGGCACACGACGUGGUAGGAAGAGGUAGAACAGAGAACUGUUUGAAAAUUUGUGUCAUGUAAUAAUAUUUGUAACUUGGUGCGUACUGGUAGUCACUAUGUAUCCGUGUAUUUCUAUUCAGACUUGUUUGUUGGUCAUUGUUUUAAAUUCAAAUUUGGGCUCAAAUUUGAAUUAGGGAUGGGCUAUUGAUGUUUUAAUGCUAUCUAAAGUACCUCAACUGAAAUAUGUUUGCUUGCUGAUCAAUCCGAGCCCUUUUGGUAAGUUGAACUCAUAGUCAUGAAAAGUGUGUUUCAAAUGACCUCCAAAGGUAGGGUAAACGGCCUCAUAUUUAAGAAAGUUUUUUUGGCCCCAUGUCUAAACCAGCCAAAUAAUUUUUCUACACAUCUAUUCUACCUAUAUAGUGUAAAUCUAAAGUCUAACUAUUUAUUAAAUUAAUUUUCUAUUAUUUUCUUUUCUUUUUGAAAAAACAAGGUUUAAUAGAAAAUUAUAUAUAAAAAAAGUUUAAACAUGAAAAUGAGAAAGUAAGUUAAGAUCUUUCUUAGUCAAUCCAAAAUGAAGUUUUGGUGAGGUUUUCACACUUUUCAUUUUCAAAACCCCACCUACUCUCGGUUGCCCACUACUCUCUCCCUUGAACUCCAUACUACAUUGUUCGAGGAAUGACAAUUUAGUGAAGGAUUUUUCGUAAGAAUGUAUGUAAACCAUAUUUAUAUAUUUUUCUUGUUACUAUACGACAAAAUAAGACUAUGUGCGCAAGUUUUAUAUUUUUUUUGAUUUUUUUCGAAUUACUUAUGCUCAACCCUAAUCACUCAAAACCCACAAAACCUCUCAAAACCCCUCAAAACCCCGCACACUCACGGGUCGUCGAUCGUUGUGCGUGUACGGUUGAGAUCAGGCGCUAGGGUUAGCUACAAUGUCCUUCAAUCCGCAUGAGACGCGCUGAUUGGUUGAAUCAGUGGGGUUUGGAUCAGCCUCUCUCGUUGGGGCAUCAGGGCCGUUCAUUUGAAUCCAACGGCACGAGUUGACGCGGUGCAUGGACUAAGCCUACACAGUGCCCUUUCCAUCGUUGCAUGCAUGCCUACCCGCAGCGCCGACGCCCGUUGCAGCAUGCAUGCCCUGCGCCCGUGCGUUGCAUGCAUGCCCUCGAUGUAGCCCUGAUCCGCCACCCCUCUCGAUGCAGUAAGUUGUCGCAUGCCUACCAUUAGCACCGAUGCAGCAUCGCAUCAAAGCGUGCAGAGACAACCAAAAAGCCAACGGUGCAUGGCGUGCUCCUCUUUGAACGACACAACACUGGCAUGAUGGGUAUCGAUGCAGUUCAAAUGGCGUGCUGCUCGUUACAAGAUUGGAAAAUUAAGGCGUCAAUUAUUGUCACGUCUCCCAUCGACCGAACGUUGCCCUCUAGCAAGGCCCUAGAAAGCAGGCUACAUUGCCAUGCAUGCAUGCACGGGCGGCACACGCAGAGAACCCGGGGCAGGCGUGUCCCCUUGACCCACGACGGCACAGACACGUGCGUGAGCCCGUCCCCCUUGACCCGCGACUGGUGGCACGGAAGCGUCGUAGCCCGUUUCCCACGCUCGUGUACACACUUUGAUGGGGCGCCACAAAACGUCGCCCGCCCAUUAAUUCUACCUGGUGAAACCACUCGAAGAAAUCAAAAACCACGUCGCACUUGGGCUAUUUAAGCAAGGCACUAUCGUCUUCCUCUCCCUCCUCAUCCAUACCCCAUCCUCUGCCUCCUCUGCCCUCCUUCUUCCUUCUUCUCCAUCAAACCCGAUCGAGCCCUCGAGCCACCAUGCAGUACAAUGCCCCCACCUACCACUUCCCCCCAACCGUGCCAGAAAGGCUCUACCCGGCCGGAGUCUACGUAGAGAGAACCCUUAGGGUGUGGGCGAUCUAAAGGUGGAGGGGCGCAAGGGAGUUAUCGGAGUUCUUCCUUGCGGUCGGCUUCUGCCACCUCCCCCGCGGCUCUCCAAGGAUGUACCAUGUUGAGGAGGUCAACCACAAUGGCAUUGUGGUUGGGCUCCUCGCUACGUUCACUAACCCCUUUGAUGCUUUCCACCUCCUCGGGAGAGUGUAUUGGGUUGGUUGUGAGUUCAUAGCUUUCACCACCCAUAACAUCUUCACCGACUUCAACAGCAUCUUCCCCAACAACGGCGUUAUGCACACGCUCCCUUACCCCAUCAACAACGGGGAGGAGUGAAGGGCGCCCGGAGGAGCAAGGUGGCGUCCACUCGGAGGAGGAGGAGGAGAAGAACCCGCGUUUGGUGCCCCCGAUCUAUCUAGCUUGCUAUAUAUCUAUCGUAUUAGUAUUUUAAGUUGUAAUCGUUAUGCUACUAUUAUUAAGUUGUAUUAGUAUUUUAAGUUGUAAGGCUAUCGUGGAGUUGUGAGGCUAUCGUGGAACUAUGGGUUGCAAUCGUUAUGCUUCUAUAUAAUCGUUAUGCUACUAUAUAUAUUGUGUGUUUCGUGCUAUUAUUUGCAGAUUGCUAUGGGUUGUUCUUGCUAUUACUUGUGUAUUGCUAUGGGUUGCUACGGGCCCAGGUUGCUACACCCCAAUCACCACACACAACAUCUUCAAAAUAUUGGCCAAAUAAUGGGUCAUGACUGAUAACCCACAAGUAUAGGGGAUCGCAACAGUUUUCGAGGAUAGAGUAUUCAACCCAAAUUUAUUGAUUCGACACAAGGGGAGCCAAAGAAUAUUAUCAAGUAUUAGCAGCUGAGUUGUCAAUUCAACCACACCUGGAAACUUAGUAUCUGCAGCAAAGUGUUUAGUAGCACAGUAAUAUGAUAGUGGUGGUAACGGUAGCAAAAGAGUGGUGCAAGCAAAAGUAAAUAUUUUUGGUGUUUUGUAGUGAUUGUAACAGUAGCAGCGGGAAAGUAAAUAAGCGAGAACCAGUAUAUGGAAGACUCGUAGGCACCGGAUUAGCGAUGGAUAAUUAUGUCGGAUGUGGUUCAUCAUGUAACAGUCAUAACAUAGGGUGACACAGAACUUGCUCCAAUUCAUCAAUGUAGUGUUGCAUGUAUUCCGAAUAUAGUCAUACAUGCUUAUGGAAAAGAACUUGCAUGACAUCUUUUGUCCUACCCUCCCAUGGCAGCGGGGUCCUAUUGGAAACUAAGGGAUAUUAAGGCCUCCUUUUAAUAAAGAACUGGAAUAAAGCAUUAGCACAUAGUGAAUACAUGAACUCCUCAAACUAUGGUCAUCACCGGGAGUGGUCCCGAUUAUUGUCACCUCGGGGUUGCCGGAUCAUAACACAUAGUAGGUUACUAUAGACUUGCAAGAUAGGAUCAAGAACUCACAUAUAUUCAUGAAAAACAUAAUAGGUUCAGAUCUGAAAUCAUGGCACUCGGGCCCUAGUGACAAGCAUUAAGCAUAGCGAAGUCAUAGCAACAUCAAUCUCAGAACAUAGUGGAUACUAGGGAUCAAACCCUAACAAAACUAACUUGAUUACAUGACAAAUCUCAUCCAACCCAUCACCGUCCAGCAAGCCUACGAUGGAAUUACUCACGCACGGCGGUGAGCAUCAUGGAAUUGGUGAUGGAGGAUGGUUGAUGAUGACGACGGCGACGAAUCCCCCUCUCCGGAGCCCCGAACGGACUCCAGAUCAGCCCUCCCGAGAAGUUUUAGGGCUUGGCGGCGGCUCCGUAUCGUAAAACGCGAUGAUUUCUUCUCUCUGAUUUUUUUCUCUCCGAAAGCGAAUAUAUAGAGUUGGAAUUGGCGCCGGAGGGUGUCCAGGGGGCCCACGAGGUAGGGGCGCGCCCUAGAGGGGGGGCGGCCCCACCCUCGUGGACAGGGUGUGGGCCCCCUGGUCUUCAUCUUUGGCGAGGAUUUUUUAUUGUUUUUCUAAGAUGUUCCGUGGAGUUUCAGGUCAUUCCGAGAAUAUUUGUUUUCUGCACAUAAAACAACAUCAUGGGAAUCUGCUAAAAACAGCGUCAGUCCGGGUUAGUUCCAUUCAAAUCAUACAAGUUAGAGUCCAAAACAAGGGCAAAAGUGUUUGGAAAAGUAGAUACGACGGAGACGUAUCAACUCCCCCAAGCUUAAACCCUUGCUUGUCCUCAAGCAAUUCAGUUGACAAACUGAAAGAAAGAAAGCAAAAACUAGUGAGCCAUAAUAAUAAAUCUCGGAUGACAACACUUUCUCAAAACAAUCAUAAUAUGAUAUAACAAAAUGGUAUCUCACUAGCCCUUUCUGAGACCGCAAAACAUAAAUGCAGAGCACCUUUAAAGAUCAAGGACUAACUAGACAUUGUAAUUCAUGGUAAAAGAGAUCCAAUCAUAGUCACACCCAAUAUAAAUUAAUAGUGAUGAAUGCAAAUGACAGCUGUGCUCUCCAGCUAGUGCUUUUUAAUAAGAGGGUGAUGACUCAACUUAAAAGUAAAUGGAUAGGCCCUUCGCAGAGGGAAGCAGGGAUUUGUAGAGGUGCCAGAGCUCGGUUUUGAAAUAGAGAUAAAUUAUAUUUUGAGCGGUAUACUUUCAUUGCCAACAUAGAAACUAAGAGAUGGCGAUAUCUUCCAUGCUAAACACAUUAUAGGCAGUUCCCAAAUAGAAUGGUAAAGUUUAUACUCCCCCUCCACCAACAAGCAUCAAUCCAUGGCUUGCUCGAAACAACGAGUGCCUCCAACAUACAUCAGGUCCCAGGGGAGUUUUAUUUGCAAUUAAUUUGAUUUAGUUUGCAUAAAGCAUGGGACUGGGCAUCCCGGUGACCAGCCAUUUUCUCGUGAGUGAGGAGCGGAGUCCACUCCUAUUGAGAAUAACCCACCUAACACGGAAGAUAAGGACAGCCUUGGUUGAUACAUGAGCUAUUCGAGCAUACAAAACAGAAUAUUUGUUUGAAGAUUUAGAGUUUGGCACAUACAAAUUUACUUGGAACGGUAGGUAGAUACCGCAUAUAGGAAAGGUAUAGUGAACUCAUCUGGAAUAACUUUGGGGUUUAAGGGAUUGGAUGCACAAGCAGUAUUCCCACUUAGUACAGGUGAAGGCUAGCAAAAGACUGGGAAGCGACCAACUAGAGAGCAACAACAACCAUGUGCAUGCAUUAAAAUUAAUAAACAUUGGAUGCAAGCAUGAGUAGGAUAUAAUCCACCAUGAACAUAAAUAUCGUGAAGUCUAUGUUGAUUUGUUUCAACUACAUGCGUGAACAUGUGCCAAGUCAAGUCACUUAAAUCGUUCAAAGGAGGAUACCACCCCAUCAUACCACAUCAUAACCAUUUCAAUAGCAUGUUGGCACGCAAGGUAAACCAUUAUAACUCAUAGCUAAUCAAGCAUGGCACAAGCAACUAUGAUCUCUAAUUGUCAUUGCAAACAUGUUUAUUCAUAACAAGCUGAAUCAGGAACGAUGAACUCAUCAUAUUUACAAAAACAAAAGAGGUCGAGUUUACCAGCUUUCUCAUCUCAGUCAGUCCAUCAUAUAUGUCAUCAUAAUUGCCUUUCACUUGCACGACCGAACGGUGUGAAUAAUAAUAAGAGUGCACGUGCAUUGGAUUAAGCUGGAAUCUGCGAGCAUUCAAUAAACAGGAGAAGACAAGGCAAUAUGGGCUCCGGGUUAAAUCAACAAUAAUGCAUACAAGAGCCACUUCAACAAUUUAAUUAUGGUCUUCUCCUACUAACCACCAAAGAAAAGAAAAGAAAUAAAACUAUUUACACGGGAAAGCUCUCAACAAGCAAAAGAAGAACGGGAAACAUUUUGGGUUUUCAUUUUAAUUAUUAUUGCUACAACAGUAAAAUAAACUACUACUAAUUUUUUGGUUUUUCUUAAGGUUUAACAAACACACAAGAAGAAAGCAAGAAAAAUAAAAUAAACUAGCAUGGAUAUUACAGUGAAAGAGUAUGAGCACCGACAUCUAGCAAUGAGUGUGUGUGAACAUAAAUGUAAUGUCGGUGAGAAAUACGUACUCCCCCAAGCUUAGGCUUUUGGCCUAAGUUGCUCUAUUGCCAGGGAUAGCCUGGCGGAUACCCGUAAGUGUAGCUGGGGUCGUACUGCGACGAAGAAUAGCUGGGAUCAUACUGUGAUGAAGAAGAGGACUCUGACUGCCACUGGCUGACAGUCAUCUCUCGAUCCCAAGAAUAAACAGAUUGUCGUGGAGGCUCGUCUUGUGGUUCCGGUUCCGGGGCUGGUGCAGGGUUUUUGUAAGCCUGGACAACAACUCAUGUGACGAGAUAGGGUCCUACAAAAUUAAACAAAGAAGGAUCAGGCAACGUAAUAGUUUCAGGAUAAUGUUUAUCAAAGUAUAGCUUAUAUUAUAGCUCUCCAUCCCUGCCCUUAACAAGAAAAUCAUGUGCUAGCAUGCUCUUAUAAUCUAGAUAAGCACUAGGCAGCAAUUUCUCUUCUUUCUCAUAAAGCCUAAUAGCUAUGUUAAAGUGUGCAGCGAGGCGUGAAGCAUAAAUGCCUCCAAAGAUGGGACCCUUAGUACGGUUAAGACUUAACCAUCUAGCAACAAUUUUGCCCAUGCUAACAGUGUUGUCGCGGUAUAAACCAUGGAACAAAAUAAUAAUAUCAGGAACGCUAAGGUUCCCACAGUUCCCACGACCAAUCAGGCAUCGACUAGCAAAUAAAGCAAAAUAGCAUAACACAGGAAAAUGUAUGCUAGUGAUUCUCGCAUCUGAAACCUUCCUGGUUUCUCCCACAGAGAUAAGGUUAAUAAAUGGUUCCAACUCCUUACGGGGUGGUUCCUCUAAGGUACCCUCAGGGGGUAUGUUGCAGACUGCGCAAAAUUCAGACAAUGGCAUUUUCUUCACAACGUCAUAUAAAUGAAACUCUACUGAAGGAGGUGAUUCCUUAGGGUAAAAGUAGAAGUUUUGCACAAAAGUAUUUGUGAGUAAGAGAUACUAUGGACGUUGGUCGCGGACGAAGUCGGUGAGGCCAGCAUUCUCAAUCAAUGAAUAGAAAUCCUCAUAAAUCCCGGCCUCUCUCAAGAAAUUAUCAGAAGGCCAUUCACACGGCCGGAUCUCCGCGGUACGAGGCAAAUUAUAUUUGGGCCUCUGAGCUUCUUCAUUUUGUUUCUCCUUUGAGCUUAGGCUCUAUGAGCCCCUCAAAAUUCUCUUCAUCAUUUUUCUGAAAUAAUCUGAAAUUUUUAGUAACUUCAAACAAAAGUGAACCAACUUCAAUAAAACUGAUAGCAACUACUCUUACAAGUGCCUAGAGCCUGUAUCAAGCAUUAGAGCUACUUGGAACCAUAUAAAUUUGACAUGCAAGCUCAAGAACAUGGUCACCUAAGCAGCACAAAUUUGCAAAGAAUAGAGCACUAGAACAAAAACUAAUUGGACCAAUGGAGGAGUCACAUACCAAGGAACAAUCUACCCAAAUAGUUUUGCGAGAGGUGCUUUGAGCAAGGAGAUCGAAAAUCACAGCAAAAGUGGUUGGAACUCGUGCUUGAGUUGGUUUUUCGGGUUUGUGUGAGACAGGGGAAGAAGAUGGGUACUGGGAUAAGUGGAGGAGGGCCACCAUGGGCUCACGAGGCAGGGGGCGCGCCCAGGGGGUAGGGUGCGCCCUCCACCCUCAUGGCCAGGUGGCAGCUCCCCCCGCGGUAAUUUUUGCACAGUAAAUCCUCAUAUAUUCCCGAAAAAAUCAUAUUAAAUUGGCAUGUCAUUUUGAGGACUUUUAUUUUUGGCAUAAUUUUAUAUUGCACGGAUAAGCCAGGAAACAGAUAGAAAAAUACUAUUUUUACUUUAUUUCAACUAAAUUACAGAAAGUAUAGAAGGGGUACAGAAGUUUGUGCUUCUAGUUUCAUCCAUCUCAUGCUCAUAAAAAAGAAUCCACUAACAAGGUUGAUCAAGUCUUGUUAACAAACUCAUUCCGAUAAUCAUGGAACCGGAGAAAUUUCGAAUAACACUAGGUUACCUCAACGGGGAUAUGAACAUCCCCAAUAAUAAGUAUAUCAUAUUUCUUCUUGACAGUAGGAAGAGGAAAUUCAAAACCUCCAAAUAUAAUCGAUGGAAUUUUUUCAAUAGAGUUGAUGCUAUGAACUUGAGGUUGUUUCCUCGGAAAGUGUACCGUAUGCUCAUUGCCAUUAAUAUGAAAAGUGACAUUGCCUUUGUUGCAAUCAAUAACAGCCCCUGCAGUGUUAAGGAAAGGUCUUCCAAGAAUAAUAGACAUACUAUCAUCCUCGGGAAUAUCAAGAAUAACAAAGUCCGUUAAAAUAGUAAUGUUUGCAACCACAACAGGCACGUCCUCACAAAUACCGACAGGUAUAGCAGUUGAUUUAUCAGCCAUUUGCAAGGAUAUUUCAGUAGGUGUCAACUUAUUCAAGUCAAGUCUACGAUAUAAAGAGAGAGGCAUAACACUAACACCGGCUCCAAGAUCACAUAAAGCAGUUUUAAUAUAAUUUCUUUUAAUGGAGCAAGGUAUAGUAGGUACUCCGGGAUCUCCAAGUUUCUUUGGUAUUCCACCCUUAAAAGUAUAAUUAGCAAGCAUGGUGGAAAUUUCAUCUUCCAGUAUCUUUCUUUUAUUAGUAAUGAUAUCCUUCAUAUAUUUAGCAUAAGGAUUAGUUUUGAGCACAUCAGUCAAUCGCAUACGUAAAAAGAUAGGUCUAAUCAUUUCAGCAAAGCGCUCAAAAUCCUCAUCAUCCUUUUUCUUGGAUGGUUUGGGAGGAAAAGGCAUGGGUUUAUGAACCCAUGGUUCUUUUUUUUACCAUGUUUCCUAGCAACAAAGUCUCUUUUAUCAUAACGUUGAUUCUUUGAUUGUGGGUUAUCAAGAUCAACAGCAGGUUCAACUUCUACAUCAUUAUCAUUACUAGGUUGAGCAUCAUCAUGAACAUCAUCAUUAAUAUUUUCACUAGGUUCAUGUUCAUUACCAGAUUGUGUUUCAGCAUCAGACAUAGAUAUAUCAUUUGGAUUAUCAGGUGGUUCAGCAAUAGGUUCGCUAGAAGUUUGCACAGUUCUAUAAUUUUUCUUUUUGUUCUUUUUAGAAGGACUAGGUGCAUCAAUAUUAUUUCUCUGAGAAUCUUGCUCGAUUCUCUUAGGGUGGCCUUCAGGAUACAAAGGUUCCUGAGUCAUUCUACCAGUUCUAGUAGCCACUCUAACAGCAUAAUCAUUUUUCUUACUAUUCAUCUCAUCAAGCACUUCUUUUUGAGCUUUAAGUACUUGUUCUACUUGAGUGGUAACCAUAGAAGCAUGUUUGCUAACAAGUUUAAGUUCACCUUUAAUAUUAGCCAUAUAAUCACCCAAGUAUCUAAUCUUAUAAGCAUUUUCUUUUAAUUUUCUACCAAAAUAAGCAUUGAAGUCGUCUUGCUUGACAAUAAAAUUAUCAAACUCUUCUAAGCAUUGUCUAGCAGACUUAUAGUGAGAGAUAUCACCUUCAUCAAAUCUACAGAGAGAAUUUACCUUUACUACCUGUGUCGGGAUAUCGGGAUCAGGAGGUUCUUCAAUAAAUAAGGGUUUCAGAUCAUAUACUUCUUCGACAGGCGGUAGAUUAAGACCAUGUAUUUCUUCAAUAGGAGGUAAAUUCUUAACAUCUUCAGCUUUAAUACCUUUUUCUUUCAUAGAUUUCUUUGCCUCUUGCGUAUCUUCGGGACUGAGAAAUAGAACACCUCUCUUCUUCGGAGUUGGUUUAGGAAUAGGCUCAUUAAUUGGAGCAGGAGCUGGCUCAGGAGCUGGCUCGGGAGGUGCCCAAUUAUUUUCAUUUGUCAACAUAUUAUUCAAUAGAAUUUCAGCUUCAUCCGGUGUUCUUUCCCUGAAAAGAGAGCCAGCACAACUAUCCAGGUAAUCUCUGGAAGCAUUGGUUAGUCCAUUAUAAAAGAUAUCAAGUAUUUCAGGUUUCUUAAGAGGAUGAUCAGGCAAAGCAUUAAGUAACUUGAGAAGCCUCCCCCAAGCUUGUGGGAGACUCUCUUCUUUGAUUUGAACAAAGUUGUAUAUUUCCCUCAAGGCAGCUUGUUUCUUAUGAGCAGGGAAAUAUUUAGCAGAGAAGUAAUAAAUCAUAUCCUGGGGACUACGCACACAACCAGGAUCAAGAGAAUUAAACCAUAUCUUUGCAUCACCCUUUAAUGAGAACGGAAAUAUCUUAAGUAUAUAAAAGUAACGCGAUCUCUCAUCAUUUGUGAACGGGAAGCUAUAUCAUUUAACUUAGUGAGAUGUGCCACAACAGUUUCAGAUUCAUAACCAUAGAAGGGAUCCGAUUCAACCAAAGUAAUUAUAUCAGGAUCAACAGAGAACUCAUAAUCCUUAUCAGGAACACAAAUAGGUGAAGUAGCAAAAGCAGGAUCAGGUUUCAUUUUAUCUCUAAGUGAUUCUUUGUUCCAUUUAACUAACAACCUCUUGAGCUCAUAUCUAUCUCUGCAAGCUAAAAUAGCUAAAGAAGAUUCUUUAUCAAAAACAUAACCCUCAGGAAUAAUAGGCAUAUUUUCAUCAUCACUGUCAUCAUCAUAUUCAGAUUCAAUAAUUUCCUUUUCUCUAGCCCUAGCAAUUUGUUCAUCAAGAAAGUCACUAAGGGGCACACUAGUAUUAGGCAUAGAAGCAAUUUCAUCAUAAGUAUCAUGCAUAGCAGAAGUGGCAUCAUCAAUAACAUGCGACAUAUCAGAACGAAUAGCAGAAGCAGGUUUAGGUGUCGCAAGCUUACUCAUAACAAAAGGUGAAUCAAGUGCAGAGCUAGAUGGAAGUUCCUUACCUCCCCUCGUAGUUGAGGGAUAAAUUUUUGUUUUCUCGUCUUUCAAGUUCUUCAUAGUGUCCAGCAGAUAUAAAUCCCAAGUGACUCAAAGAAUAGAGCUAUGCUCCCCGGCAACGGCGCCAGAAAAAGGUCUUGAUAACCCACAAGUAUAGGGGAUCGCAACAGUUUUCGAGGAUAGAGUAUUCAACCCAAAUUUAUUGAUUCAACACAACAGGAGCCAAAGAAUAUUCUCAAGUAUUAGCAGCUGAGUUGUCAAUUCAGCCACACCUGGAAACUUAGAUCUGCAGCAAAGUGUUUAGUAGCACAGUAAUAUGAUAGUGGUGGUAACGGUAGCAAAAGAGUAGUGCAAGCAAAAGUAAAUAUUUUUGGUGUUUUGUAGUGAUUGUAACAGUAGCAGCGAGAAAGUAAAUAAGCGAGAACCAGUAUAUGGAAAACUCGUAGGCACCGGAUUAGCGAUGGAUAAUUAUGCCGGAUGCGGUUCAUCAUGUAACAGUCAUAACAUAGGGUGACACAGAACUAGCUCCAAUUCAUCAAUGUAAUGUAGGCAUGUAUUCCGAAUAUAGUCAUACGUGCUUAUGGAAAAGAACUUGCAUGACAUCUUUUGUCCUACCCUCCCGUGGCAGCGGGGUCCUAUUGGAAACUAAGGGAUAUUAAGGCCUCCUUUUAAUAGAGAACCGGAACAAAGCAUUAGCACAUAGUGAAUACAUGAACUCCUCAAACUAUGGUCAUCACCGGGAGUGGUCCCGAUUAUUGUCACUUCGGGGUUGCUGGAUCAUAACACAUAGUAGGUGACUAUAGACUUGCAAGAUAGGAUCAAGAACUCACAUAUAUUCAUGAAAACAUAAUAGGUUCAUAUCUGAAAUCAUGGUACUCGGGCCCUGGUGACAAGCAUUAAGCAUAGCAAAGUCAUAGCAACAUCAAUCUCAGAACAUAGUGGAUACUAGGGAUCAAACCCUAACAAAACUAACUUGAAUACAUGAUAAAUCUCAUCCAACCCAUCACCGUCCAGCAAGCCUACGAUGGAAUUGCUCACGCAUAGCGGUGAGCAUCAUGAAAUUGGUGAUGGAGGAUGGUUGAUGAUGACGACGGCGACGAAUCCCCCUCUCCGGAGCCCCGAACGGACUCCAGAUCAGCCCUCCCGAGAGGUUUGAGGGCUUGGCAGUGGCUCCGUAUCGUAAAACGCGAUGAUUUCUUCUCUCUGAUUUUUUUUCUCUACGAAAGAGAAUAUAUAGAGUUGGAAUUGGCGUCGGAGGGUGUCCAGGGGGCCCACGAGGUAGGGGGGGCGCCCUAGAGGGGGGGGCGCCCCCCACCCUCGUGGACAGGGUGUGGGGCCCCUGGUCUUCAUUUUUGGCGAGGAUUUUUUAUUGUUUUUUCUAAGAUGUUCUGUGUAGUUUCAGGUCAUUCCGAGAAUAUUUGUUUUCUGCACAUAAAACAACAUCAUGGCAAUUCUGCUGAAAACAGCGUCAGUCCGGGUUAGUUCCAUUCAAAUCAUACAAGUUAGAGUCCAAAACAAGGGCAAAAGUGUUUGGAAAAGUAGAUACGACGGAGACGUAUCAAUGACCCAAACCAUGGACAUGCAACUAGGAGCCCCAUGCAAACCCACUAUGGACAUGCAACUAGGAAAUGCAAACUAAUUUACUUUAUGCAAGCAUGCAACUCAUUUAGUUCAUGGAACCGUAGACAUGCAUAAAAAACAUUUAGUUUUAGUGCAUCAAAAAAUGAUCCAUCACAAAAAUUAGUGCAAGAAAAAGGCCAAAGUAAAAACAAGUAACAUUUUAUUUGCCGAAGUUAGAGGUGGGCUGGUGCCCCUACGCGGGUGGGCUGGUCUCUAUUUGGGCAUGGUUAUUUUCUCACGACCCAACAUCUAUUCGGCGGCCCAGUUUUGUUUUUUACUAGAAACUGAAUUUGGGUGUGUACUCUAUUAACUGAAGAAUAAAAACAGAGGAAACAGAGCAUGAACACUGAAUAAUUUGUGUUCCAAAUUGCUGCUUCAAUUCAGAUACAUGAACUUGGCAUGGCGCACAGAUCACAUCCUCUACCCUGACAGGCCUAAAUGCCCAUUCUAAUGAUGGAUGAACAACAAAUAAAACAAAAACAGAGCAAUGAUACAAUAAUAGAACCCCCCUGCCAUGAUAUUUGCUUGCUUUUGCAGAUCGAUCACCUGCAUUAGAUAUUUCUUGAUCUUCUUCAGUUCCUCGGUCAGUUCGGACUCUACAUGCAGUUCAGCAUUGCACGGAUACAUCGCCAUCGGCAUGACUCUGCCCGCCCCUCUGCCUGAGCUCCCCAUAUUCUCCACAGCAAUCGGCGGCACCCCGCCCAAAUUGAGCUCCCAGGUUGCGGCCACGCUCGAAUCAACGUAGCCCUCAAACUGAAUCCUAUCAACAUAUUCAUCAAUCCACUCGAAAUGGUACCAUUUCUUCAGGAUCUGAAAACAACAACAUGAACCCUAAAUCCCAAAUUCGAGGAGAAAAAACAAAAUAUGGAGAAAUCAGAGCAAAUGACAGCGAAAGAACGGGCUUAGAACUGAGAUCUAACCUUGCCAUCCCUUCCUGCCAUUGGUUUGCUCAAGCAUUUCACAAAUUCCUGCCCAAGAUUGCCAUUGUCAUCCCUCUUAGCGACCAACCAUUUAAGAGGGUCUGGACGUGGGCAGUCAGGGCACCUUGUGAGCAGCACUGGUCCAUACUGUCGCCAUUUUGAGUGCGUGGCGGAGGAGGUAGACAUUUGCGCUAGGUCACCGGAGAAGAGAAAGAUUGGGAAAAGGGGAUGAAUGGGCGGCGGCGGGCGGACGGGCACGGGCGCUCGUCUCUUCUAGAUGCGAGGAGGUGGGUCCCGCAAGUAGACAAGUGGUGGGUCCCGCGCUUACGUGGAUAAGUGGUGGGUCCAGCCCCCAACAGCUAACGAGGGCAUCAGUUGAGUUUAACAGCCAUGUCGUGCAUGGGCUAUUUACCUGCUCAAAAUUGUCGCACCACAGCCAUUCGCUCGAACAACGUCACACUCUUGCCAAUUCACCUCAAAUGUGUCGCACAGGAGCUAUUGGCCCCUAAAAAAAUUCACACCCUAUAGGGGUCAUAUGAUGAGGUCAUGACAAGUUUCAUCCAUUUUCGAGCUCAUUUGAAAGUAUUUUUGAAUGGAAGAGCGUUUUACCCUUUUUAGUGGCCAAAAAUUCAACUAAUACUUCCGAAAUAGCAAACCAACUCUAAAGGUGGACAAAUUCGAGCAUGACACUUUGAAUGGUGUGCAUUGAACAUGGAAAAAGUUUGAAGGGGAAGUGUACGCGGAGAACAACCAAAACAAUAAGAUCACAUAAAACAUGGAAAACAUAACACCAGCAUGCCUUUUGUAUCAUCCCCUACUUAUAAGUUAUUAGUUGUGACGUGCAAUCCUCGUCGCCCGUCAGUGUCCCCAUGAACCUAUGUACACCCAUCCCAAAAUUUCAUAGGCCUCUCGCUUGAUCGAUUUGAUUUUGCCUCAUCAAAUCCUAAAUUGGGAAUAGGAGGCGCCGACCUAGGGGAGGCAAUCGACGAUGGCACCCAAGUGAGCUACUCCCGCCAGCCGGCAUCCUCGUCCUCCUACAUUAGCAUCGGCAUACCUGCCACCGCAUCUCCUUCCCGACCAUUGAUGUGAGAUCUCACCUCUUCCAUGACCCUCAUGGCAUGGAGCUUUCUGUCGACCACCGGUCCUCCUCCUCCCUUAACCCUGCUUUGCCCCCCCCCCCCCUCCAUAUGUGCCGACAGACCACUUCCUCCUCCACCACUCCUUCCCCCAUCGAACCACCUCCUCCUCCACCCCUUGCCACCCAACCACUUUACUCCUCUCUUCCGCUUCCCCACAGAUUUUUCCAAACCUCUCCUUGUUUCUCAUUGAAGUUUUUUUUGGAAGAUUGGAUCACCACGAGACCGGAUUAAGGUGAGAUCUAGGUUAUGCGACAUGACUGUGAACCAUAAAUGGGUUUUUUGGGUCAAAUGAGAUGGUAAAUUAUAUGAUGGACAUUUAAUAAAUACAAGACAACAAUUUUUUAGAACAUCGUGAACAUUUUUGAAAUGCAAAAAAAUUGCAUGGUGGAGGAAAAAUCAUGAAAGAAAAUUUAAAGCUGAGGGUAGACAUGGAAUUGAGUCGAGGCGAGUUGUGUGCACGGUGUGGACAGGCAACUAGGUUAGACAAGUUUGGUGUCGAGGGUAGACAUGGUAUUAUGUCGGGUUCAGGGCAAGUUAUGUGUCUAUGAUGGACAUCCAACUAGAUCAGGUCGAGACGAGUUGCGUAUUGAUGGUCGACAUACAACUGGGUUAGGAGAGUUGCGUGUCAUGGGUGGACAUGCAACAAGGUCGGGAAAGUUGUGUGUCGAGUGUGCACAUGCAACUUGGUCGGGAAUGGUCAAGUUGGGGGUCUAGGGUGGACAUGCAACUGACAUGGAAAUGGGUCCAACGACUAUGCAUUUCAAAGGUGGACAUGCAAUUCCGUAGGUGUCAGGGGCAGGAAGGCGAGUUAUGUAUCGGGGAUGGACAUGCAACUAGAUCAGGGUAUGGAAAGUUGUAUGUCGAGAGUGGAUAUUCAACUUGAACAAAGGGGUCGAGGGCCCGUUACAUGUUCAGGGUGAACUUGCAACUGGGGCAAAGGGGGUCAAGGGCCGGUUACAGGUCAAGUAUGUACUUGCAACUGUGACGAAGGGUCAAGGUCCAAUUGCAUGUCAAGGAUGGACUUGCAACUAGGGCAAAGGGUUGAGACAAGUUGUGUCGCGAGGGUGCACCUGCAAAUGGGACAAAUCCUCGACGCCAAAUUGUGUGUCGAGGGUGCAUUCCAACCGAAAAAAGAUGAUCAGGCCUCGAUUGUGUGUCGAGGGUGAAUUUGCAGUUAGGGCAAAAAGGUCGGGCCUAAUUGCAUGUCACAUGGGUGAUACAACAGCCCACGCACAAAGGUGAUUCUCUCUUAGAAACGAAACAAAACCACAACAAUGGUCCAGGAAAAAUUCAAAACAACACAAAUCUUGGAGCUAUAAAUCGGCAGGUGCAAAACUUAAAUGAGACAUCAUUAGCAAACUGAGCCUAGAUCAGAUGGUUAGUUUUUUAUGGUGAAACCAGCCCACGAGGGUCUUGGCAUGGUGCUUUUUUCUAAUUUAUUUCAGACUUUGCAGCAAUAUCUGUUCAACAGGAGGAGGCGUUCCUGUCUGACUAUGGAGGCGGUAGUGAUAACUUCAUCAAUCUCAAAGAUGAUGUGCUGGCCCAGUCUCUCGAAGGUGCUCAUUGGGGUAGGGUGUGCGUACGUGCUUUCAUAGGGGUCGGUGUAUUUGGCUAUGUAUGAGCGUCUGCGCCUGUACUGUGUUAAAAAAUCAUUAUUUCUCCUCUAGAUGAGAAUUAGCAAAACUGAAUUUCAAUCAUUUAUUUAGGAUGCCGAUAACGCCCACACGUGUGGGCGUUAAGCGGUCUGCCCACACGUUUUGUGUGGUGUCUAAGAGGAUCAGCCCACACGCCUACGUGUGGGCAAAACAAGUAAUGCCCACAUGCCUCUUUUUUCCUCUCGGUCCCUCACACUCCUACGUGUGGGCAAAAUAGAUAACGCCCACACACCCGUACGUCAGGCCUCCUACCUCAUGGUCCCGCACGCCCCGCGUGACAGUUACCACGCGCCCCGCAGUUGCCAUGGUCCGGAUCAUUUUCCGUGUUCGUUUAACUGCAGUUGCCAUGUCACUGAACUAUAGUUGCCAUGGUUGCUCAACUGCAGUUGCCAUCUCAGGUCAAGUGCUAGAUGUCAUUUUUGGACAACUGCAGUUGUUGCCAUGUAUGGUCUGGUUUACUAUAGUUGCCAUGAUUUGAAAACUUUAGGGGUUGCCACCUACUAACACUAGGCAGUUGCCAUGUAUGGUCUGGUUUACUACAGUUGCCAUGAUUUGAAAACUUUAGGAGUUACCACCUACUAACACUAGGCAGUUGCCGUGUAGCGCUACAAAGAGACAUGGCAAAAUAACAUGUUUGGGUAAAGAGAGAGUUGCCAUCAAGCACACUAGGGCAGUUGCCAUGUACCCUGCAAAACACAUGUUAAGUGACAUGUUCGGGUAAAAGAGAGAGUUGACAUCUGCUUACAAGCACACUAGGGCAGUUGCCAUGUACCCUGCAAAACACAUGGCAACUGGCAGCUUGGGGUGUGGGAGAGGAGACGGGCGUGUGAACGAAACUGAUAAAUGCCCACACACCAGCCCCUGUGCAUGAGUGAAAACUGACGUGCGGGCGAACUGCUAAAUGCCCACACAGCGGUCCCUUCGUGUGGUGAAAACGGACGUGUGGGCGACCGGAUGAAUGCCCACACACCAGACCAGUCCUACGUGGCAUCACAAACAUGCCAAGAUUUGUGCAACCACAAAUGGACAUAGAUCCAUGCGUGUGGGCGAGAUGCAAACGCCCACAGGUGUGGGCGUUAGUAUUUCCGUUUAUUUGUUACUAGUCGUCAACCCGUGCAGUUGCACGGGCUAGCAAUUUUGAAAACAAUAAAAUAGUGAAAAUAGUAACUUGGGCAUAUGAAGAGUCAUUGUUAUAGUCAGAUAAUAGUCCUCUUGUACAAAGAAGAAUUGCCGCACCAAACCUGAGACAAUAUCAUAUAUUAUUUUCUAAUAGAAAUGCUUUACCCAAUGAAAACCAUAUGUUCAUGUGCCGCGUCAAACUAAACCUUAGAAAAUAGCUCAAAUUCUUAAUCGUGGGAAUUAAACCUAUGUAACUUUGAUUUUUUUAGGGGAUGUAACUUCGAUUUAUGGUGUAUAUAAAUUAUAUUAUUCUCAUUUAUGAAGUGAAAAUAGUAACAUUAGAUUUAUGGUGUAUAUAAAUUAUAUUAUUCCCAUUUAUGAAGUGAAGACCAAUACCAUCCUGUUUCUUUUCUCAUGAAAAGUUGUUAAAUAAUACAAAAAUUCUUGUAGUAUAGAUAAUAAAUAUCAAGUAUAUUUCAACAAAAAUAUCAUAUAUUUCUGUAAGAAAUAAAAUUUAUCAUCACUAAGGGCUAUAACAAAACUAAAAACCAUCAAAGGAUCAAAAUGCCAACCAGAUUUAUUUGGUUAGGUAUUUAGUGAAGGCCUUAGUUCUCGAAUCCAGGAAACAAUCGAGCACUGAAGUCCUGUUAGGUGCUCCUACCAAGAGACCCCAAUAUGAUAAAGGACAUAGGACACGAGUCUUCCAGAAAAUCAUACCAACCUCAAAGCUAAAUCCAGAGACAUAUACACAUCCAAGGUGUCUGAAAUAAUGUGGGAAUUUCUACAGUUAUAUUCCUUGUGGUAGUGGGCUUAAGGGAGCCUCCAGAUAGUGAAAUUCCAAAGUUACGAACUCUUGCUCUGAUUCCAAAAAGAGGGCGUGCAGCUUUUUGAAAUUUAAACACGACCAUCAAGUGGGCAGUAAUACGUUGGUCAUGUAACUUGAAAAAUAUAUCAUUGAAAAAAUAUUUCAGACAUGAAUGCAAUGCUAUAAGUUUCAUGAGACAUAAUUAGAUUUCAUGGACUGAAAUCAUUGUGAAAGUUAAAUCUCAAAAUGCACGUACGCCUUUGACAGUCGAGCAUAUAACAUGGACAUCCUUCAAAAAGGUAUGAACUUAAUCCCUCUUGGUGGAGUCUGGGGGACUACAACUUCCAGAAGCACAUCCAUGUCAUGCAUAGGCAAGGAAAUAAUUGAAUACAUGCUAUUAUCUUGUUUUGAAAGAUUGAGCAUUGAAGCAUAUAUAUCCUAAGGGGUCUAUCUUGUGUGCGUAAUGAUGCAUGAACCAAAUCUAAAUCAGCAGGGCUGGUCUGGCGCCUCUUGGCCUCUUUGGUAGUUCUUUUACCAUGGAGGUUACCACAUCUUUCCGUACAUUUUUUUUAAUUUGCAACCAAUGGCCUAGCCAAAUAGGUCAUGUGAAUAAAAAAUAGUCAACUCGGAGGCUGGGAUGCUUAUAAAAGCUGCCCAAAACUACAUUGGUGCAAGACCAUGUGUAACGUCCAAUUCACCUAGUCAGCCAUGUACUAAUGUGUAUUACGUAUCCUUCUUUGCCUCUAUGAAUCCGACAAACAUCCACACGUCUACUGUUGGAAGAAGAAACUAAGACCUAUUAGAUAAGAAAUUCGAACUUGAUCAUACAAAUUUACAUGAAAAAAAUGAGAUUCUUACUGCCGACUACUAACAACAUAAAAGUUUCAUUCAUACCUCAAGUAUGUGUGGGAAAACAUACUCUAUCGCCGAAUGAAUCAAAAUUAGAACCCAGUUACAGUCUUCAUGUGGAGGCCAAACAAAUCAGGAGCAAAUGCCAGCCUGCAACUUGACAACGCGAUUGAUUCAUAGGAUGAAGUUGCCGAUGACCUUAGGAUCGAGUGUGCUGCUAUUGGCCAGUCUUCCCGAUAUGAAGGAGGCACUUGUUCUAUCGUGGGAGGAGGAAUUGCAAAGCUUAACAGCCGGGGAGGGGGGCUCUAGCAGCGGUUGGCCCAAGAGGAGAUCCCAGCGAAUUGGAAUCGGUGGGGAUUGGCGUGGGUUUACUCCAUGCAUACACAUAUGUGUACGUGUACCAGGAGACAAUGAAGUCACGCACCAGUACAUAGGUCUGUAGUUUUUGAAGGAAAAUAGAUCUAGAUAGCUUUCCUAAAGCACUACGUGGCUCAUAAUUAUUUUAUUUGGAGAUGCAGUCGUAGGUUGGACAAACUCUUGUGAUCGGCCAUCAUGUAAACUGAAUCGAUUAUAUAAGUUUUUCUUUUUCCAAUUAAAGUGGCAAUUUAUAUAUGGGUUGAUCUACACCGUAAUAGCUCGGUCCCACCAGAUUAACGGCUCNNNNNNNNNNNNNNNNNNNNNNNNNNNNNNNNNNNNNNNNNNNNNNNNNNNNNNNNNNNNNNNNNNNNNNNNNNNNNNNNNNNNNNNNNNNNNNNNNNNNNNNNNNNNNNNNNNNNNNNNNNNNNNNNNNNNNNNNNNNNNNNNNNNNNNNNNNNNNNNNNNNNNNNNNNNNNNNNNNNNNNNNNNNNNNNNNNNNNNNNNNNNNNNNNNNNNNNNNNNNNNNNNNNNNNNNNNNNNNNNNNNNNNNNNNNNNNNNNNNNNNNNNNNNNNNNNNNNNNNNNNNNNNNNNNNNNNNNNNNNNNNNNNNNNNNNNNNNNNNNNNNNNNNNNNNNNNNNNNNNNNNNNNNNNNNNNNNNNNNNNNNNNNNNNNNNNNNNGAGAGAGAGAGAGAGAGGGGUAUAGAUAGAUAGAUAGAUAGAUAUAGAUAGAUAGAUAGAUAGAUUAGGAUACAUUUGUUCAAACCCGAUUAUAGCUUAGCAAAAGGUUUUAUUUCUUGUGGUGCUUAUUCAUUACGAUACCGACUCGUUUGUGAUUUGUCUUGCUGGGGGUCGGGUUUUGUUUCUGAUACAAAUUCCGAGUCUAAGUCGUACUAGUAGGCGCUCCCAUCUGACCACUACAUAUAUGACUGCCUGCCUACGUACGAACGAAGGCGCAGGGCACAGCCGAUUCAUGUUGGUCGGAAAAAAUAACGAUAUGAUGAUGAAGCCCCCGAUUUCUAAACGACCCUGCCGGAGAGGCUGGAAGUCACCGGAAUCAGCACUGCCUUUACCCUCCGGCAGUAGCAGUAGCAGUAGCAGUAGCAGCUUCAUCCCGGAUGAAAUAAUCUUCUUCGAGAUACUGGUACUUCUUCCCGUCAAGUCCCUCCUGUGCUUCCAAGCCGUCUGCAAGUCAUGGCGCGCCACACUAACCAGCACUCCUUUCGUCCGCAGGCACCUGGAGCUCUCAAGGUCGACCAUGGUCGUGGUGCCGCGCAAGUACCAGGCCUCUCGAUUCCUCAACAUCUUCAGCUUCCAGCCAGGCGAAAGCAAGUGCGCCGAGCUUAUGGUCCGAAAGGAGUUUCAGCCCUAUGGGGUCCCGGCGUUCAGCAUUCCUCUCCACUGCGACGGCCUCAUCUUGAUCCCUGCCUUGAUGGGGAAAAUUUUCAUCUGCAACCCGGCCACUGGAGAGUUUGUUGAGUUGCCGCCUGGAAGCCCCAGCCUUCUCCAUGAGCACAGGGUCGCCUUUGGCUUUGAUCCCUGGAGUGGCGCCUACAAGGUGGCCAGGCACUUCAUCCGCUCCUACAGAGAUAUUCCACAAAUGGAUGUGGAAGAAGGAGGCGCCAUUAGAGAAUACAGCUGCGGACAUGAGAUCUUGACAUUCGGUGGUGAUGUCGGCAAGGAAGAAGCUUUGGUAUGGAAGGCCACCGUGGAUCCGCCAUACCCUAUCAAGGCCAGGACCCCGAUUUGUCUCCCGGGGGCCUUCUUUUGGAGUGCUCUCAAGUCCAUGCUACUACCUGCAAAGGUUAUCUCGAACGUCAUACUUCGAUUCAGUUUACUUGAUGAAACAUUUACGGUGCACCCUAACCCUCCGUGCAGCGAUUAUCUAGGCGGGAACGAUUCACUAUCGGCGCUAGGUGAAAAGUUAUGCUAUAUCCACUCUACCUCUCCGUGGGAGAUUUCCGUUUGGUUGGCGGAAGAUGGACCAAAUCUGGCUUGGUCACUAUGCCGCCGAGUCUGCCUGCCGAUACCAAGAAUGCUUCUUGCCUUUGCUUGCGCGUCGACUGAACGGGACAAGAUAUUCAUCACCGUUGAUGCGUGCAUCCUUCUCCGGUGUGAUCUCCGUGAUGGAUCCCUUGAAGAAGUAAUCAACAUGCCACGUGACAUGUUGUAUGAUCUCCGGAAUGGCAGAAAAAUCAACAUUGGUGCGCUCUUUGUUGCCCACUACACGGUGCCGUAUGUGGAAUCACUCCUGCGCAUCAGACCUCCGUGAUAACCAGACAUCAUAUCGUACGUGAUCUCAUCAUUAUAUAAUAAACGUUGUCUAAUUUCUUGUGUUGCAGCCAAAAUUAGCGGAAGCACAUUAAUAUACGUCUGUUUUUGCAUUGUUCUUACCUAGUCCUUACAAUGUAUUUCGUUAUGAGUGGAUAUUGUCCAUCACAAUUUUUUUAAUAUAAUUAUGCUUUCAAAGUCCUGCUGAUUAUGUACUUGUUGAUGUAGCAUGAAUUUUUCAGAUAUUGUACCUGACAUGGAGCGCUAGCUGAACCACAUGACAUGCGCACCACUUUAUUCCUGUCGCUGAUAAGUAUUUGCUGACUAGAAUGUAUCUAAACCCAGCGGCUCACCUUAAUAUUACCAGUUUUGUUGCCUAUAUGCAUCGAGUUUAGCAGACACGCCAUAUAUGGAACUUAUUAACAUAUGCCAACCAAACCAAUAUUUAUUGAUUAAAAAAGUGAGCACAAUAUUGAUCAUUUGGAGCAGUCAUGUGCGAUACAGCCCUAUGCAUACAAUACAUACCCGACAGGCCAUUCGAACAUAUUAUCAGCCUUCUUGGUCGAUGAAUUCGGGAUACUAUCAGGACUCCACAGAAGAGAUGGCUCCUGAAUAUGAUAAUAAUGUAAGACGAUGUACUUCUGUCAUAUUUGAGAUGCUACCGAUACAAUGCUGAUGCUUGAUCCUGCUUGUUUAUAAAACUGCCAAAUUGACAGAUUAUCGCUAAUAUAUCUUUUCUUUGUUAACUCGUUGUUUUGACUCACAGAGUGCUUUAGAAUAUGGUGAACAUCGAGUAUACUUUUUCUUCCUCCUAUCCUCAACAAGUAGUACUUUAUGAGCAAUCUUAUGGUGAUGGGUGUGUCUCCUUAGAGCAAAAUGUCCAGAGCAACUCGAACGCGUUUUCUGAAGAUACCUCCGAAAUCACUAAAUCGGCAAGCACAAGAGUGUGUGGUUAUUCAAAUUGAUUUUGUCAAUACUAAAGAUCAAAAUUGCAAUGCUAGACACUUAUAUUUUUAUGCGGUCCAUGUUUUGGCCUUUGGCUCCAUUUCUUCAGGAAAAAAAAUAAAAAACAAAAAAUCAGGCCUUUUGGAGCUCUUAAAAAAAUACUUUUUCUUCUGUUCUUUAUUUUGACCAUGUUCUCAGUUGUCUGGUGAUUUACUGUGAAUUUCCCUCUACAUGUGUUACAUGUAGAUUGAAGGAGGAAAAGGCAUUAGAAUUGUGCUUUAAUGUGCAAAAUAUCAUUGAUAAAGAGUAAAUUAUAAUAAGAAAUAGUGAUGCAAAAUGGACGUAUCAGCUCCCCCAAGUUUAGACCUCACUUGUCCCCAAGCGAAAUUCGAGCAUAGUAAACAUGUCACAAUUUUAUGAAGUGUGGAUUCAAUAGUAAAUAAUACCAAAAUGACAGCAUCACUAUUUAAUUUCCUAAUCAGACAUUCUAAACAACAAUCCCUUCUUAUUCUUACAUAACUUCUGAUGAGAAGGUCAUGACACCUUUAGAUGCAAAAGUUAAACCCAUAAAAGUCUCUUGAUCAUUAAUUUUAGAAACUGCCUGGGCACGAGGAGAUGCAUGCAAGGUUGGGAUAUGGCCAAGCAUCCAGUUGAUAAGCACAUAGUCAUGUCCACCUUGAUUGCUGGGUUGAUCCAUAUAUCCCGUGCCGGGUUUUCUAGAAAAGGCAAGUAUCUAGGAUGUGUGGCGCACAUUUGUGUACACACCAGUACAAGGCACCCUGGAAAGCAGAUAAAAAACAUGUAACGGAUGAUUAUCUCCAGACAAAUCAUGCGUAUGCAUGAAGGAAUUCAGUCGUAGCGGUGGUAACAGAUACAAAAGGCCAUGGUUUUACGCAGCGGAAGAUAAAGAUCGGUCAUGGCCGCGCAUGCUGCAUGCGGGCCUGCACGAGCAAUGUGACCCUGGUUGUGUUUCACACCCAUAGGCACCACGGCAUUGAGAAUUAUCCUUCCAUGUAUUUCUAGCAAUUAAUGGUGAACUAUGGCUGGGUGUAGAGGGGUCAUAGACUUAAGAAACACACAUGGUUUUUUAUAAACGUGUGGUAGGUGAUAUAUAGUAUUUAUAGGUCCAUACAUCUAGAUCAAACAUCACAAAAAACAGCGGCAGUGCUACAUAUGCACAUCCAGCUAGCGAGACAAAUGUGAGUGUUUGUUUGCCUUGCAUCAAAAAGCCAAACACCAGAAACAGAAGCAUGCAUAUGACACGAGUAGGGGUAGCACGAAGAGCACAUAUUCAUAUAUUAACAAGAAUGAGAACAAUCUGGCAUGUCAUGGAUUGGAGAGGUUGGAGAAACCUAGCUACUUGUCACCACAAGGGUGUGGCACCUCCAACAGGACAAACAAUGCAUAGUUGUAAAGAUGAGGAAGCAAUCUAUCUAUCCAUCCAUAGUGAGUGCCACUAGAUACAAAAUUAAAAAAGGCAAAAAAAAUUCAAGACUUCUCUAGCAAGCGCCUUGCUAGUACACGUAUUUACUCCUAUUUAAGCGCCUCCAUGGAUAUCCAUAGCUUAUUAAAUUCCUUCCUUCGUUACUUACAUAUUUAUGAUUGCCUCCAAUAUUGCCAUCACCCUAGAAUCCAUUGCAGAGAAAGCCUCCACCAUGACAGACCACCUUCAAGUUCAGCAACAGAAGUUGGAGCUACCGCCGGGGUUUAGGUUCCACCCAACGGAUGAGGAGAUCAUAAAAUUCUAUGUGGUCCCCAAGGUGCUCGAUGAAGCCUUCGUCGCUGCGGCGAUUGAGGAUGUGAACCUCAACAAGUACGAGCCAUGGGAGCUACCGGAGAAGGCGAAGAUGGGGGAAAAGGAGUGGUACUUUUACUGCCGAAAGGAUCGCAAGUACCCCACCGGGAUACGAACGAACCAGGCGAAGAAUGCUGGCUAUUGGAAGGCCACCGGAAAGGACAAGGAGAUCUUCCACCCGCCGCUCACACUCAUCGGCAUGAAGAAGACGCUCGUCUUCUACAAGGGCAGGGCACCUAGGGGGGAGAAGACCAACUGGAUCAUGCAUGAGUAUAGGCUUGAGAGCAACAAGCAGCUAACUUCCAACCCGUCCACCGCAACCCGCACCGUCACCAUCACCAACGCGUCUUCCAAGGUAUAUAAUAAAUUUAUAGUAUAUAGUAGUAGUCAUGAAUUCUUAACAUGCCAUUAGCUAGUUAGCCACCUUUUCUGAACAAUCAGGGGGAGAAUCCCCACUUGAAUAUUACUCUAAGUCGCCAAUACAUGGCAAGAAUUACAAGGUUGCACCGAUGCAUGAGGGGAGAUAAAGCGGCCAUGACAUAGCGGCCUCCUUGAGUAGGUUACUUGAAUGUAUGGGUAAAAAGAGGGAAACCAUCAGUAGUGUUCUUGAUAGUAGACCGAGGUGAGUAAAUACUGCAAUGGAAUGUCGUAGCGUUUCAUGAGUCUUAAAUAUUCUAAAGGAUGGAAAGGUCGACAGAGGCCAAAUGUUGGAAUCGAGGCCUAGGGGAGUCACUGUGUCCCCAUUUCCAGAGGUUUGCACUUGGACAGGGCCGCCAAAAUACCCAAGUUAUGGGAUAUAUGUGUUGGACGUGAGUAGUGAAUGACAAAGUGAUCGGCAUCUGUGACAAAAGAGUCACACCUGGGGCAUGCUACUGAUCAUAGUUGAUUUGCACUUAUUUAAUUUAUGUAUGCUUGUAGGAACAGUGGGUGGUUUGUAGGAUCUUCCAUAAGAGCGCCGGACUGAAGAAGGUGGUGAUGCCGUCAUAUGUCAUGCCAAUGUCCAUCGGAGCGGAACAUCAGCAGGGGUUCGCCGACUUAGAUACAUUGCCUCCUCUCAUGGGCUAUGAGAUGUCGUCAUCGCUAGCAAAUCCAAUGUUGCUUCCUACAACUUCUCCAUACCAAUUGCGCGACAUCGGUGCUGGCUCAUCGAUAAUGGGUAGCAUGGCGCUUCCUAUUAUGAAUGACCACUACAUCGGGAACCACCACCAGCAGAUGAUGUCAGACCCAACACCACCAUUGUCGUUCUACCAACAACAUCAGCAGAUGAUGAUGUAUGUGGGUGCAGAUCGGGGUUUCAUGGUCGGGGCUGAGCCUGGGUGUGGGCCAUCGUCGAUGGUGUCACAGGAACAUGCUGUGACCGGGCUGAGCAACAACUACCAGGGGAACGCCGCCGCAACAGCAGUUGGCAAGACCUCAUCGAUGAACAUGGGUAUGGAUGACAUGUGGAAGUACUGAUGAUCCAAGACAACAUAGAUAUAUGUGUGUGCGUGCAUAAAUUAAUCAUCCAUCAGACGGUCGUUCGAUAUAUGGUGACCCGUAUAUUGGUUUGUGCCGUAUUUAAUUUCUCAUUGUGGCCUCUAGAGAGUUUGCAUGCAGGCAUGCCUCUCUUGUGCUAGUUUUUCCAUUGUGUAUAUGUGUAUUGGCUUGUAUAUGCACUAUCCGCCGGGGUUUACCUGGCGAUAUAUGCAUGUGUUUUAAAAUACUGGCAGGUGUGCAUCAUGCAUCUUUUAAACCUAUAUAAAAUGAACUAUUUUGUUUAAUUAUAAAUUUUUCCAUUAUAUGUUUGGGCGUGCAUUGUCUUUGG